RNAcentral lists this microRNA precursor (104 nucleotides) under Clunio marinus. RNAcentral describes it as "mir-277 microRNA precursor family". It matches the Rfam family "mir-277 microRNA precursor family". Lineage: Eukaryota; Metazoa; Arthropoda; Insecta; Diptera; Chironomidae. The record is from Rfam by way of RNAcentral.
UUAGUUUUGGAGUGCGUGUCAGUUGUGCGUUUACAUGAAAUUUCCAUUGACUUCGGAGAGCGCAUGAAAGCUGUAAAUGCACUAUCUGGUACGCACCAGAGAAA